Long non-coding RNA from Lathyrus oleraceus (garden pea), 1086 nucleotides. RefSeq lists it as uncharacterized. The record is from RefSeq and is a predicted model, not a curated record. The transcript is spliced from 5 exons. NCBI's taxonomy places the organism in Eukaryota, Viridiplantae, Streptophyta, Magnoliopsida, Fabales, Fabaceae.
GGAUUGAGUGCAGAAGCUUUUUGGAAUCAGGGAAAAAUCUUCCGAACCCAAUGAUUGGCAAUGAUUGCAGCUUAUAUAGCACGAUCCAAGGACAAAUUGGAGAUUUGUGUAGCUCAAUCUCUUUCGUCCAGCUGGCACUUAAAUGAAGGAUGAAUGUUGCAUCUUUGUUUUCAAUUGCUAGGUCUGGUGUAUGCAAUGCAGAUUCACAUCAUUGUGGAGAAAUUGGAUGGAUGUGAGGUCUUGGCUGCAGGUUGAUGUCCAUGCCUUGGUUUGUAGACCGGUUUGCUGAAUGUUUGGAUAACUUGCCCUGUUUCUGCAGGUUUUCUUGGCUUUGGCUCUGCAACAGGGUAGCUCUGAAGUUGCAGUGGGAUGCUUGGUUGAUAUGACUUAGCUCGAGUCGAAUGUUCCAACUCUAGUCAUUAUGCAUUUAUCUGAUAGAGUCUGAUGAAAGUGAAUCACGUGUGAGUAGGGCGAAUGACGCACAUGUUCUUUUAUUCUUCAAUUCGCUUGUUGCAACCUUGCUACAACUUCACUCUUAGCUGCCAAUUGAAAGUCUUUACAGGUUAUGCUUAAGAUAAUAAAACACGCGUAACUCAUCGAAGCGACAAACCCUUCCGGAUGACGACACUUCAUGACAGCUUAGAUGUGUAUCGCCCAAGGAAUGCUUAAUGUUGUUUGACCUUACUUAGGAGCGCGCGACACACCUUCUUCCGGCCUCGUGUUUGAACCAACGGGAAGCAAUUAGGAUUUAGGUAAGAUACGCCUUUGUGACUCGGGCCUUCCUUAACCAAGUGGAUUGUUGGCGCUGUAUCCUGAGUUAAACCCGUUAUCAUACGAUCACAGCCGCUGCAUCACGCCUUGGAAGAACAAUAGGUUUUGAUAUCACGUCCAUAAUCCAUAUGCCCUGCUGGUUUGUAUCAGUGCUUUUGAUAACCCAAGAAUUUCCUGCUGGUUUGUAUCAGUGCUUUUGAUAACCCAAGAAUUUCCUGCUGCUAAGAGUGCCCUGUUGGAUUCAAAGGAUAAUUUCCACCAGGAAUGCUGGUAGAACUUCCAAAACCACAUCCCGACGGAAUAGCAGCAGACUGA